GCCAAAUUAUCAGCUAAGGUAAUUGGAGCAGUUAAUGAAGUAACAGAUCCCGCAUUGGGGUUUCCAAAUCCAAUCUUCCAGUGUACAACAUGUGGUGCAAACGAUGGGAAAAAAUGUGAAGGUCAUUUUGGAUUAGUAAACUUUCCAUAUACAAUUCUGAAUCCGUAUUUCGUAUCGGAGGUUGCUCAGAUCUUGAAGAAAAUAUGUCCAGGAUGUAAAUCUGUGCGUCGUGAUAAGGUCAAGGUUUCUGAUAGGACAUCUG
RNAcentral lists this unclassified non-coding RNA (262 nucleotides) under Hevea brasiliensis (rubber tree). Lineage: Eukaryota; Viridiplantae; Streptophyta; Magnoliopsida; Malpighiales; Euphorbiaceae. The record is from RNAcentral.